RNAcentral lists this ribosomal RNA (468 nucleotides) under uncultured bacterium. RNAcentral's name for it is "partial 16S ribosomal RNA". It matches the Rfam family "Bacterial small subunit ribosomal RNA", at positions 28 to 507 of the family's 1533-position model. The record is from RNAcentral.
GACGAACGCUGGCGGCGUGCUUAACACAUGCAAGUCGAACGGAAAGGCCCUGCUUUUGUUGGGUGCUCGAGUGGCGAACGGGUGAGUAACACGUGAGUAACCUGCCCUUGACUUUGGGAUAACUUCAGGAAACUGGGGCUAAUACCGGAUAGGAGCUCCUGCUGCAUGGUGGGGGUUGGAAAGUUUCGGCGGUUGGGGAUGGACUCGCGGCUUAUCAGCUGGUUGGUGGGGUAGUGGCUUACCAAGGCUUUGACGGGUAGCCGGCCUGGGAGGGUGACCGGCCACAUUGGGACUGAGAUACGGACCAGACUCCUACGGGAGGCAGCAGUGGGGAAUAUUGCACAAUGGGCGGAAGCCUGAUGCAGCAACGCCGCGUGCGGGAUGCCGGCCUUCGGGUUGUAAACCGCUUUCGCCUGUGACGAAGCGUGAGUGACGGUAAUGGGUAAAGAAGCACCGGCUAACUACGUG